Molecule: long non-coding RNA, 446 nt
Filed under: Mytilus galloprovincialis (Mediterranean mussel)
Lineage: Eukaryota; Metazoa; Mollusca; Bivalvia; Mytilida; Mytilidae
Source: RNAcentral
GUUUUUCUCAUACUUUAUGCAAUAGGUUUACUAUAUUUGUUGUAUGGAAUGAUUGUAAGGUGUACAUGUCUAGCGGGCAGAUGUCAUCUGACCUUGACCUCAUUUUUCAUGGUUCAGUGGUUAUAGUUAAGUUUUGUGUUUUGGUCUGUUUUUCUCAUACUUUAUGCAAUAGGUUUACUAUAUUUGUUGUAUGGAAUGAUUGUAAGGUGUACAUGUCUAGCGGGCAGAUGUCAUCUGACCUUGACCUCAUUUUCAUGGUUCAGUGGUCAAAGUUAAGUUUUUGAGUUUUGGUCUUUUUAUCUAAUACUAUAUGUCAUAGGUCAACUAUAUUUGGUGUAUGGAAAUAUUUUAUGAUCUAUAUGUCAGUCGUGCAGGUUUUAUUUGCCCUUGACCUGGUUUUCACGGUUCAUUGCUCAGUGUUAAGUUUUUGAGUUUUGGUCUAUUUU